UACGAAGGGGGCUAGCGUUGCUCGGAAUCACUGGGCGUAAAGCGCACGUAGGCGGAUUGCUAAGUCAGGGGUGAAAUCCUGGAGCUCAACUCCAGAACUGCCUUUGAUACUGGCGACCUUGAGUCCGGGAGAGGUGAGUGGAACUGCGAGUGUAGAGGUGAAAUUCGUAGAUAUUCGCAAGAACACCUGUGGCGAAGGCGGCUUUCUGGGCCUUACCUGACGCUGAGACGCGAAAGCGUGGGGAGCGAACCGG
This 253-nucleotide ribosomal RNA is filed under the name uncultured bacterium. RNAcentral describes it as "partial 16S ribosomal RNA". It matches the Rfam family "Bacterial small subunit ribosomal RNA", at positions 524 to 776 of the family's 1533-position model. The record is from RNAcentral.